This 80-nucleotide transfer RNA is filed under the name Suillus luteus UH-Slu-Lm8-n1. RNAcentral describes it as "tRNA-Gly (CCC) (tRNA-Gly-CCC-2-1)". The record is from RNAcentral. Lineage: Eukaryota; Fungi; Basidiomycota; Agaricomycetes; Boletales; Suillaceae.
GCAUUGAUGGUGUAGCGGUAACAUGUGGUCUUCCCAUGGUCACUGUGGCCGCGCUCCGAGUUCGACUCUCGGUCAAUGCA